This 465-nucleotide ribosomal RNA is filed under the name uncultured bacterium. RNAcentral describes it as "partial 16S ribosomal RNA". It matches the Rfam family "Bacterial small subunit ribosomal RNA", at positions 28 to 507 of the family's 1533-position model. The record is from RNAcentral.
GACGAACGCUGGCGGCGUGCUUAACACAUGCAAGUCGAACGGAAAGGCCCCUUUGGGGGUACUCGAGUGGCGAACGGGUGAGUAACACGUGAGUAACCUGCCCUUGACUUCGGGAUAACUUCAGGAAACUGGGGCUAAUACCGGAUAGGAAUCCUUGCUGCAUGGUGGGGGUUGGAAAGCUUCUGCGGUUUUGGAUGGACUCGCGGCUUAUCAGCUUGUUGGUGUGGUAGUGGCUUACCAAGGCUUUGACGGGUAGCCGGCCUGAGAGGGCGACCGGCCACAUUGGGACUGAGAGACGGCCCAGACGCCUACGGGAGGCAGCAGUGGGGAAUAUUGCACAAUGGGCGGAGGCCUGAUGCAGCAACGCCGCGGGCGGGAUGACGGCCUUCGGGUUGUAAACCGCUUUCAGCAGGGGCGAAGCUUGUGGUGACGGUACCUGCAGAAGAAGCACCGGCUAACUACGUG